AUUGCUGGUGCAUGUGCACCAGCUUUCAGAUGUGACCCCACUCCUGCAGCUGAACUGCUUCUUCAUUUGUGAAAAAAUCCCAUGUUGGGAUUUCAGUGGCCAAAAAGUGCCUGCGCUACCAACCUCAGCCAUUUGAGUGCAGGCAAAAUAUAUCUGGCUUGAUUCAAGGAGGUCAAGUUAAUUUUGGCCUGAAUUUGCUAGAGUCCUGUCAUAGAAUCUUUAAGGUUGGAAAAGUCCACCAAGAUCAUCAGGUCCAACCACCAAUCCAUCCUACCAUGCCCACUGUCUAUAUCCCCCAGUGCCACAUCUCCACAGCUCUUGAACACCUCCAGGGACGGUGAUUUCACCACCUCCGUGGGCAGCCUGUCCCACUGCAUCACCACUCUUUCAGAGAAGAAAUUCCUCCCAGCUUCCAACCUGAAGCUCCCCUGGCUCAAGCUGAGGCCGUUCCUUCUCGUUCUAUCACUGUUAACCAAGAGAAGAGGCUGACCUCUGCUUCACCAUAACCUCCUUUGCAGUCAGAAGUAAGGCAGCCUGACUGGACUGCCCCUCUCAGUCUUAAUGCUGCGUUCAGUUCUCCAGUGUACAAACCCAACAUGCAGAUCACUGCUACUGAAUCAGGAAAGGAAAAAUACGGAUGAAGAGUUACUCUGUCAUACUUGGAAUUUUGGUCAGAUGUUUAAAUUAAUCGAUAUGUGUUUAGUAACGGGUUUGGUUACGCAGCUUUGAACCUAGCAUAUCUGUUCUCUGCACACCAGAAGUCCCUCUGCCUCAUCUGUUUGUAUCCUCGUUUCCAAUAAUAUCUUCCCUGCAGGAUGAAUUGUUUUACUGCACACUACAUACACGCUACACCGUGUGUCAACAACCAAGUUCAUAGUUGGUACAGUUGAGAACAGCCUGUUAUUUUGGCUUUUGGUAACAUUAAGGAAUAUGCAGUGAAAAAUACAUCCUUUCUUUUAUCCAGAAUCAUCUCACUUCAGAGAGAGAAUGCAUUCCAACCAUGCUGUUUGAAGCACCAUCCAAAAGGGCCGUCUCCAGUCGUCAUCUUUUUCCAAGGAGACGUGGAUUAGCAUUUGGCUGUGGCUUUUCCAAAAGCAGUUCUGUAGGUGGUUAAAUUGGCUUGCAUAUCUGAUCUGACCGCCUGCAAUUUAGUGCUCAACUCAUGCUUGAAUCCUCUGCAAAUCUUAUGGAAAUCCAUUAACAUUUAGCAUUUCUUUGCAGCCCGCUGGUUAACCCAACCCUAGUUGGUUGAGACUAGGCUGGAGCUGCUGAAUCCUUUGCUGUUGAUUUGGGGAUUUUAACAGUUAGAUAGAUUAAAAACUGGUUAAUAAGAGCACAGCCAAUGUUGUAUAACAGUCAUUCAUUUUUAAAAUAGAAUGAAAUCCAAUUCCUUCAGGAAGCUGUAGCAUUAUUUCAUCAAUAUGGUCGCAUUCUUUCAGCCAGCUCCUAAUCUGAUGGAAAAGGAUCAUUUGUGUUUUCUGAAACCAUGCAAGCCAUACUUCCCCGGUGCUGUGUCCUGAAUUCUCUACAGAUCAAUUCUUACGGGAGCAUUCCAGGAUUUCCCAGUGGAAGGUUAAGGAGCUGGUCGCUCACUGCACUUACCACCAAAAAAAUGUGAUCACCGCUUCUUUCCUUGUUCAAAACUGCAGACUUAUAUUGACUAAAAGUAGAUAUGUAUUCUGAAUCAUAAGUGGGACCUUAACAAUCACUGUGCUGUAGGAAAAGCUAACAAGCAGGGGAUACAUUUGCUCCUGGAACACGUAGAUACUUUCUUCUUAGUUUCCUUGACUCCAUUUGUCACGGCCUUUUUCAGUGUUGUCUUUACAUUCCCAUAUCAGCCCUCUCCAUCCCCAACCUGCCAGGCUAUGAUUCCUGGUGCAGCGAUUUUGGUGGAGCUGUUGCGUUUUAAAGCAGUUAAGGAUAGGAUCCUAUGCCUCGUUCCAUUGGCAGUCCCAAAAUGUGAGGAGUUGAGGCCGUGCAUGGCGUAACGAAGAACCAAGCCACAGAUUUCUUGGGGUAGGCCACCGUUCUUUGGCCACAGCUGUGGUCCACAUGCUUUGUGGAGCAUGUAACUGCUGCAAUUUAUUAAGGACACGCAACUAAAAUGAUAAUCGGAUAAAAAGAUCAUUUAUUGUCAAACGAUUAUGGAGCUGCAUUAUGUGAUUUCAUAUCUUUUCCUUCAAAAUCUCUGCAUUUCAAACCAGCUUGUGGUUUUACUCCAUGCCAUUAACACUUUGGUAUUACACAGUAUAUUUCACAUGGCAAAUUCUGUGGAAUAUGGAUUAUGUUAUCAGGAAAUAAACACAAAUUUC
Long non-coding RNA from Gallus gallus (chicken), 2312 nucleotides. The record is from Ensembl. NCBI's taxonomy places the organism in Eukaryota, Metazoa, Chordata, Aves, Galliformes, Phasianidae.